AGCGAACGCUGGCGGCAGGCUUAACACAUGCAAGUCGAACGCAUCCUUCGGGGUGAGUGGCAGACGGGUGAGUAACACGUGGGAACGUACCCUUCGAUCUGGGAUAACUUCGGGAAACUGGAGCUAAUACCGGAUACGCCCUUUUGGGGAAAGGUUUACUGUCGAAGGAUCGGCCCGCGUCUGAUUAGCUAGUUGGUGGGGUAACGGCCUACCAAGGCGACGAUCAGUAGCUGGUCUGAGAGGAUGACCAGCUACACUGGGACUGAGACACGGCCCAGACUCCUACGGGAGGCAGCAGUGGGGAAUAUUGGACAAUGGGCGCAAGCCUGAUCCAGCCAUGCCGCGUGAGUGAUGAAGGCCUUAGGGUUGUAAAGCUCUUUUGUCCGGGACGAUAAUGACGGUACCGGAAGAAUAAGCCCCGGCUAACUUCGUG
Molecule: ribosomal RNA, 433 nt
Filed under: uncultured bacterium
Lineage: Bacteria
Description: partial 16S ribosomal RNA
Rfam family: Bacterial small subunit ribosomal RNA
Source: RNAcentral